RNAcentral lists this ribosomal RNA (2063 nucleotides) under Staphylococcus aureus. RNAcentral's name for it is "partial 23S ribosomal RNA". It matches the Rfam family "Bacterial large subunit ribosomal RNA", at positions 283 to 2344 of the family's 2925-position model. The record is from RNAcentral. Lineage: Bacteria; Bacillati; Bacillota; Bacilli; Caryophanales; Staphylococcaceae.
GCUUGCUUGUUGGGGUUGUAGGACACUCUAUACGGAGUUACAAAGGACGACAUUAGACGAAUCAUCUGGAAAGAUGAAUCAAAGAAGGUAAUAAUCCUGUAGUCGAAAAUGUUGUCUCUCUUGAGUGGAUCCUGAGUACGACGGAGCACGUGAAAUUCCGUCGGAAUCUGGGAGGACCAUCUCCUAAGGCUAAAUACUCUCUAGUGACCGAUAGUGAACCAGUACCGUGAGGGAAAGGUGAAAAGCACCCCGGAAGGGGAGUGAAAUAGAACCUGAAACCGUGUGCUUACAAGUAGUCAGAGCCCGUUAAUGGGUGAUGGCGUGCCUUUUGUAGAAUGAACCGGCGAGUUACGAUUUGAUGCAAGGUUAAGCAGUAAAUGUGGAGCCGUAGCGAAAGCGAGUCUGAAUAGGGCGUUUAGUAUUUGGUCGUAGACCCGAAACCAGGUGAUCUACCCUUGGUCAGGUUGAAGUUCAGGUAACACUGAAUGGAGGACCGAACCGACUUACGUUGAAAAGUGAGCGGAUGAACUGAGGGUAGCGGAGAAAUUCCAAUCGAACCUGGAGAUAGCUGGUUCUCUCCGAAAUAGCUUUAGGGCUAGCCUCAAGUGAUGAUUAUUGGAGGUAGAGCACUGUUUGGACGAGGGGCCCCUCUCGGGUUACCGAAUUCAGACAAACUCCGAAUGCCAAUUAAUUUAACUUGGGAGUCAGAACAUGGGUGAUAAGGUCCGUGUUCGAAAGGGAAACAGCCCAGACCACCAGCUAAGGUCCCAAAAUAUAUGUUAAGUGGAAAAGGAUGUGGCGUUGCCCAGACAACUAGGAUGUUGGCUUAGAAGCAGCCAUCAUUUAAAGAGUGCGUAAUAGCUCACUAGUCGAGUGACACUGCGCCGAAAAUGUACCGGGGCUAAACAUAUUACCGAAGCUGUGGAUUGUCCUUUGGACAAUGGUAGGAGAGCGUUCUAAGGGCGUUGAAGCAUGAUCGUAAGGACAUGUGGAGCGCUUAGAAGUGAGAAUGCCGGUGUGAGUAGCGAAAGACGGGUGAGAAUCCCGUCCACCGAUUGACUAAGGUUUCCAGAGGAAGGCUCGUCCGCUCUGGGUUAGUCGGGUCCUAAGCUGAGGCCGACAGGCGUAGGCGAUGGAUAACAGGUUGAUAUUCCUGUACCACCUAUAAUCGUUUUAAUCGAUGGGGGGACGCAGUAGGAUAGGCGAAGCGUGCGAUUGGAUUGCACGUCUAAGCAGUAAGGCUGAGUAUUAGGCAAAUCCGGUACUCGUUAAGGCUGAGCUGUGAUGGGGAGAAGACAUUGUGUCUUCGAGUCGUUGAUUUCACACUGCCGAGAAAAGCCUCUAGAUAGAAAAUAGGUGCCCGUACCGCAAACCGACACAGGUAGUCAAGAUGAGAAUUCUAAGGUGAGCGAGCGAACUCUCGUUAAGGAACUCGGCAAAAUGACCCCGUAACUUCGGGAGAAGGGGUGCUCUUUAGGGUUAACGCCCAGAAGAGCCGCAGUGAAUAGGCCCAAGCGACUGUUUAUCAAAAACACAGGUCUCUGCUAAACCGUAAGGUGAUGUAUAGGGGCUGACGCCUGCCCGGUGCUGGAAGGUUAAGAGGAGUGGUUAGCUUCUGCGAAGCUACGAAUCGAAGCCCCAGUAAACGGCGGCCGUAACUAUAACGGUCCUAAGGUAGCGAAAUUCCUUGUCGGGUAAGUUCCGACCCGCACGAAAGGCGUAACGAUUUGGGCACUGUCUCAACGAGAGACUCGGUGAAAUCAUAGUACCUGUGAAGAUGCAGGUUACCCGCGACAGGACGGAAAGACCCCGUGGAGCUUUACUGUAGCCUGAUAUUGAAAUUCGGCACAGCUUGUACAGGAUAGGUAGGAGCCUUUGAAACGUGAGCGCUAGCUUACGUGGAGGCGCUGGUGGGAUACUACCCUAGCUGUGUUGGCUUUCUAACCCGCACCACUUAUCGUGGUGGGAGACAGUGUCAGGCGGGCAGUUUGACUGGGGCGGUCGCCUCCUAAAAGGUAACGGAGGCGCUCAAAGGUUCCCUCAGAAUGGUUGGAAAUCAUUCA